Long non-coding RNA from Anguilla anguilla (European eel), 245 nucleotides. RefSeq lists it as uncharacterized. NCBI's taxonomy places the organism in Eukaryota, Metazoa, Chordata, Actinopteri, Anguilliformes, Anguillidae. The transcript has 3 exons. The record is from RefSeq and is a predicted model, not a curated record.
CGGAGAAUUCUGUUUUCAGUAACGAAAGUUUACAGGGCUUGUUACACCCGCCUUCACCAUUGCAGUAAUCUUUUUGAAGCAACUGCUAUACCCAAUGCGACUAGUCGGGCAGCUAACAAAAAUUGUUGUUUUCUGAGACCAUGGCAUUGAAGCCCUCAUCAAAGAAAUGACAAAGAAUCAGAUUUGUUCACGAUGAGACACCAGUAGACGGCAGAGAAGUCCCGGUCUUCUGGGGCACAACUGUG